AGGACGAACGCUGGCGGCGUGCUUAACACAUGCAAGUCGAGCGGAAAGGCCCUUCGGGGUACUCGAGCGGCGAACGGGUGAGUAACACGUGAGCAACCUGCCCUUAGCUCCGGGAUAGCUCCGGGAAACCGGAAUUAAUACCGGAUAUGACCUAGGCCGACAUCGGCUGUGGUGGAAAGUUUUUCGGCUGGGGAUGGACUCGCGGCCUAUCAGCUUGUUGGUGGGGUAAUGGCCUACCAAGGCGACGACGGGUAGCCGGCCUGAGAGGGCGACCGGCCACACUGGGACUGAGACACGGCCCAGACUCCUACGGGAGGCAGCAGUGGGGAAUCUUGCGCAAUGGGCGAAAGCCUGACGCAGCGACGCCGCGUGGGGGAUGAAGGCCUUCGGGUUGUAAACCUCUUUCAGCCCUGACGAAGCGAAAGUGACGGUAGGGGCAGAAGAAGCGACCGGCCAACUACGCGCCAGCAGCCGC
This 475-nucleotide ribosomal RNA is filed under the name uncultured bacterium. Its description in RNAcentral is "SSU rRNA". It matches the Rfam family "Bacterial small subunit ribosomal RNA", at positions 26 to 518 of the family's 1533-position model. The record is from RNAcentral.